RNAcentral lists this long non-coding RNA (1228 nucleotides) under Prunus persica (peach). RNAcentral's name for it is "long non-coding RNA (PPER_LNC003343)". Lineage: Eukaryota; Viridiplantae; Streptophyta; Magnoliopsida; Rosales; Rosaceae. The record is from RNAcentral.
UUAUUUCUGCAUAGAAGGGUGGGCUUAAUUUUACAUAGAGGGGUGGGUUAUUAUUUGAUUUAUCUAGGUUGGGCUUGUAUCACUUAGCUUAUUCUCCAAAGUCAGCACUGGGCUGGAGUGUCUCCAGCCCAAAUGUAGAUCCGCCUUUGGGUGUAAAGAAUAACAAUAAUGCAUCACCAGUCCAAUGGAAAAAUAACAUAACUUACAGACCAUUGGUCUAAUGUUCGAAUCUCCAUGACACAUAAGCAAUGUAUAACACUCUUCUCCUUUCUAAAUUCGAGAAAGAAAAAAAAAGAAAAGAAAGACAUAUACCACAUCAUUAUGUUUAAAUCAACAUUGACACAUGUAUUUCGUAUGGAUUAAUUUCUUUUAACACAUAGAUUUAAAAUAAAUAAAUUUUUACUUAAUCUAAAAUUCACCACUGCACAGUACCCAAUAUUUUAUCCGAAACAGGUCUUGUGAUUUUAAGGGACCUAUACGAAACAUAAAAUGGGGCCUUCACAUUAUUAAAUACGAAAAUAAUAUUAAUAAAAUUUAUCAUAACAUAAUUCCAUAAAAAAAUAAAAUAAAUUAAACUUAAAAUAUUCAUCAUCAAAUUUUUCAAGAAAACAUGUGUGGUUAGUGGCAUGGCAUGGUAAUUUUGUCUAUUUGGACUUGGGUACACUAAACCAUUUUUUCCUUCUAAUUUAAUAUUAAACCAUGAAAAAUUCCCUUAAAUUGAUUUCUAUAAGUACCAAUUUCACACUGAAUAAAAGCUCACCCUUUUUGACCCAAAAAAAAAAAGAAAAAAAAGCCCACCCUUUGAAUUUUGGAAUAUCAGCAAUCUACAAAAGAAAACGUAAUUCAUAGGGUAUGGAAAAAGAGAUUUAGAAAAGAAGAAUAAGAAAGAUUUAUAACAAGAAAAGUCUAAAAUUAAACCUGGAGGAGUGUUAGCGGUGCAGUGCAGCUAUCUUAAGAAAUCCAACGUUAUCUAAAUAUUGUUUUGUCAAAAAUAUUAAAUAAAUAUAUAAUACAUAGAUAUUAAUAUAAUAUAAGAUUUUUUAAAUACCUUAUACAAUGGGCCCAAGGAGGUAGCACCUCCGAUCCCUGUCCAAGACCGACACUGCCAUUACUUGACCAACUCCGCAACCCAGCCGUCACCACUACACCCCCAGAUAUCCAAAAUAAUCAUGAAAUAAAUACGAGGCCGACCUUUAGAUCAUAAAAUCCUCACCUUAUUGGACUUGGC